CUUUUGAUGGCGACCGGCGCACGGGUGAGUAACACGUAUCCAACCUGCCUCAUACUCGGGGAUAGCCUUUCGAAAGAAAGAUUAAUACCCGAUGUUAUAGUCCUACCGCAUGAUGGGAUUAUUAAAGAAUUUCGGUAUGGGAUGGGGAUGCGUUCCAUUAGUUAGUUGGCGGGGUAACGGCCCACCAAGACAACGAUGGAUAGGGGUUCUGAGAGGAAGGUCCCCCACAUUGGAACUGAGACACGGUCCAAACUCCUACGGAAGGCAGCAG
RNAcentral lists this ribosomal RNA (271 nucleotides) under uncultured bacterium. Its description in RNAcentral is "partial 16S ribosomal RNA". It matches the Rfam family "Bacterial small subunit ribosomal RNA", at positions 78 to 354 of the family's 1533-position model. The record is from RNAcentral.